AGAUCCAAUUUCACAAGCCCACUGGGAAAUACUGUCAUACAUCAGUUACAUAGGCUGUGGCAUGUCUGCAUUCUUCACUGCUUUGUCCAUUGUGAUUUAUGUCUUCAGUCGAAACCACAAACUGGAUUACUCCAUCUCUAUCCAUGUAUCUCUAAGCGGGGCCCUGUUUCUGCUCAAUACAACCUUCCUGCUGACCGAGUGGGGGUCCACCAUAGAGCCAGAGUGGGCAUCCCUGGUAUAAUUGUAACAGUCUCUUUAGCAAUGAAGGACUUCAAGCAG
This is a long non-coding RNA of Scomber japonicus (chub mackerel), 279 nucleotides long. RefSeq lists it as uncharacterized. The transcript is spliced from 3 exons. NCBI's taxonomy places the organism in Eukaryota, Metazoa, Chordata, Actinopteri, Scombriformes, Scombridae. The record is from RefSeq and is a predicted model, not a curated record.